UUGAACGCUGGCGGCAUGCUUUACACAUGCAAGUCGAACGGUAACAGGGAGCUUGCUCUGCUGACGAGUGGCGAACGGGUGAGUAAUGCAUCGGAACGUACCCAGUCGUGGGGGAUAACGUAGCGAAAGUUUCGCUAAUACCGCAUACGUCCUGAGGGAGAAAGCGGGGGACCGUAAGGCCUCGCGCGAUUGGAGCGGCCGAUGUCGGAUUAGCUAGUUGGUGGGGUAAAGGCCUACCAAGGCGACGAUCCGUAGCGGGUCUUGGAGGAUGAUCCGCCACACUGGGACUGAGACACGGCCCAGACUCCUACGGGAGGCAGCAGUGGGGAAUUUUGGACAAUGGGGGCAACCCUGAUCCAGCCAUGCCGCGUGAGUGAAGAAGGCCUUCGGGUUGUAAAGCUCUUUCAGCCGGAACGAAACGGUACGCUCUAACAUAGCGUGCUAAUGACGGUACCGGCAGAAGAAGCACCGGCUAACUACGU
Molecule: ribosomal RNA, 482 nt
Filed under: uncultured bacterium
Lineage: Bacteria
Description: bacterial SSU rRNA
Rfam family: Bacterial small subunit ribosomal RNA
Source: RNAcentral